GCUGAUUUUGUGAAAUUUCCGCUUGAGAAAGCUGGAGGAAUGAUUGCAAUGAUAGAUGUGUACUGUCUUUUUAAUCGUGCUAGAGGAACAGAAUUAAUCUCACCCGAGGAUCUUUUGCAAGCCUGCGCUCUUUGGGAAAAAUAUGAAGUGUAUGAACAACAGAACCUUCCAUCUUUUUCAGUCCAGUAAUGCUUAGAAAGUUUGAUAGUGGAGUAAUGGUCAUUCAGAGCAAGGCCCACAGUGACCAGGAGGUU
Long non-coding RNA from Phalaenopsis equestris, 254 nucleotides. RefSeq lists it as uncharacterized. The transcript is spliced from 3 exons. The record is from RefSeq and is a predicted model, not a curated record. NCBI's taxonomy places the organism in Eukaryota, Viridiplantae, Streptophyta, Magnoliopsida, Asparagales, Orchidaceae.